AUGAUGAUUGUUAACGGCGAGUUACAUCACCUAAGUGUCACUGGGGCGUUUCAACGUUGUGUGUCACCUGCAGAAGGCGAAGAAAUACUUCGAAAGAUCCAUGAAGGGGAUUGUGGCCAUCAUGUCGGGUCAAAAUCUCUGGUAGCCAAAGCUUUCCGUCAUGGUUUCUACUGGCUGACGGCUCAUGCUGACGCGGAGGAUCUGGUCAGUAAAUGUGAUGGUUGCCAGAAGUUCUCACGACGAGCUCAUGUGCCGGCUCAAGAAUUGAGGAUCAUGUUCGGUGUCAAAACCGGCGAAUCUCGGGUAGGGGGUCCCGAACUGUGCGUCUAG
RNAcentral lists this ribosomal RNA (330 nucleotides) under Triticum aestivum (bread wheat). Its description in RNAcentral is "partial small subunit ribosomal RNA". Lineage: Eukaryota; Viridiplantae; Streptophyta; Magnoliopsida; Poales; Poaceae. The record is from RNAcentral.